ACAAGAUGUAGCUUAAUAAAAGCCUCUCGCUUACACCGAGAAAAUGUCCGUUUAAUCCGGAUCAUCUUGA
This 70-nucleotide transfer RNA is filed under the name Lithobates clamitans (bronze frog). RNAcentral's name for it is "Rana clamitans (bronze frog) tRNA-Val". It matches the Rfam family "tRNA". Rfam says of the family: Transfer RNA (tRNA) molecules are approximately 80 nucleotides in length. Lineage: Eukaryota; Metazoa; Chordata; Amphibia; Anura; Ranidae. RNAcentral also lists the same sequence under 1 other name. The record is from RNAcentral.